UGAGUAACCUGCCCUUGACUCUGGGAAUAAGCCUCGGAAACCGGGUCUAAUACUGGAUACGACCUUCUGGCGCAUGCCAUGUUGGUGGAAAGCUUUUGUGGUUUUGGAUGGACUCGCGGCCUAUCAGCUUGUUGGUGGGGUAAUGGCCUACCAAGGCGACGACGGGUAGCCGGCCUGAGAGGGUGACCGGCCACACUGGGACUGAGACACGGCCCAGACUCCUACGGGAGGCAG
Molecule: ribosomal RNA, 234 nt
Filed under: uncultured bacterium
Lineage: Bacteria
Description: partial 16S ribosomal RNA
Rfam family: Bacterial small subunit ribosomal RNA
Source: RNAcentral